GGAUUCUUCACUCAUAAAACUUGCCAGAGGAUAAUGACCUCGGAGGUCCCUGAAUCACAAUAGCAGGCUUCUGUUCAGUGAAGCACAAUCUUCAGAAUGCUCCAAAGCUUCAGGAUUUAGGACAAGUCUUUCCACACAGAGAGAGGAAUUCACAAAACCUAAACUGGAAAAUCAGUCUCAUUACAAGAGAAACCAGGAAGAACGAUGGGAAAGAAGAGGCCUUCUCCUUCCCAGGCCUGGAGAAAAUUCUGCCUUGACACCCCACGCUCUUUUUUUGCGGCAACUGCCUCCUUCUCUGUCCUGCCGAAGGCCACAGCAGCACGUUUGCAGCGGAAAUAAACUUGCGCACCUCAUAAAAAGAACCAGUAAUGAUGCUCCCAUUUCAUGGGAUAUUACACCAUAAUGAUGAUAAUCCGCCCAUUUACAUCUGAUCUUCCAUAGACUUAGUGAAAUUAGCUUCCGUGCCACCUAGCAGGGGUAAUUUAUGAGAUAAAAAGGAACCAUUGAGAGAUAAUGUAAUGAGUAUUUACUGUAUCCUUGAUGGUGCUCUCAUCGCUGGGGAGACGGGAAGUUGGCUGGUGAGUUUAGCCUCCCACAUUUUCAGAGCCUCGUGCUAAAACCUCGGGUUAGCCGAUCCAGACCAAGACAUCACCCCAAACGCUCCU
Long non-coding RNA from Mus musculus (house mouse), 665 nucleotides. RefSeq annotates it as predicted gene, 32305. The transcript has 3 exons. Lineage: Eukaryota; Metazoa; Chordata; Mammalia; Rodentia; Muridae. The record is from RefSeq and is a predicted model, not a curated record.